UAUCGAACAACGCAUAAAAACAACCACGUUCCUAAUAAAAGCAUUCCUGCGAGGUGGCCCUCCAUGCGAGGACUAUCCAUGAAGUACGGAAAUCGUCAGAUGGAAUGGAGAGUGAGGAAAGCGGACGAUCUUGGGUGCAGUGUCAACCUUGCCGAUUCUGGCAGUUGUGGUUGGAAUUGCAAUGAUUGACCAUACAU
This 197-nucleotide small RNA is filed under the name Endocarpon pusillum Z07020. RNAcentral's name for it is "A. fumigatus sRNA Afu_182". It matches the Rfam family "A. fumigatus sRNA Afu_182". Lineage: Eukaryota; Fungi; Ascomycota; Eurotiomycetes; Verrucariales; Verrucariaceae. The record is from Rfam by way of RNAcentral.